AGCCACAAAUAGUUUUUUAUGCCUCCCUGAGUGUGACAACAUGAAUGUCUGCUGCCUUCCUUUCUCCAAUGCAUAGUUUUUGCUCUCUGAAUUGUCCAUCACAGGUGCAGGAACAAGUACCCACAGCAGAUUGAAAGGAUAUGCGUAAAAUAUAUGCAUCAGUCCAGAUUGACAACUGCAUCAUUCGGCUGGUUUUGGAUCUAGCUAUGAACCCAUUUGGUCCGGACAAUUUAGAAAAGCUGCACAGAAAGCAAAUCGAUCAGUGGAUUCCACAUUGGUCUGUCCUUUCUACUACACCCACUUUUUUUUAGGCUGCAUUUUGUAUCUUUGGUGCCUUUACCGGCUCCAUUCAUUUGGAUAGACAUAUAAAAUUAUGAAAUUUUUUAUGCUUUUAGAAGCCUCUGAGAAGGCCACUUUUAACUGUUAGGGUUCCUCUAUGUGGGUGUUUUUAUAGGCUUGUGAUUAUCUACAGGGAUUUCACUUAUUGUAGGAGUUACGGCAGCAAAAUGCAGUCUUUAUGUACGGUCUAUAUUCUGGAGUUUUUCAGCUGUAUACAGACUCUGAUACUUCUGUGAUAAACAACAGAAAAGGCUGGCAAAAGUACGAAGUAGAUGUCCUAUGAAUUAUUUUCAAUGGAUGUGGUUUGCCUGGCUCCCUGUAUGCCAUCUGAGAAACCUGUCAAAACACUUGAUAUGCUUCACAGUUGGCAUUCAGGGAGACAUGCAGAACUCAAUACCUGAUCAGCCUCACCACCCUCCUUUAAAUAUAACCAGGUGAGUUUUCUGCUAAUCUUUGAAAAUUCUUCUUGUUUUUUUCUUUUCCUCAAUACCUGACUGAGGUAUGCAACCCCUAGAAGCUCAUUCUAUGGGUGCAGUGUGACACUUAAGAUUAUUUCCUUACAGAAAGAAUGGGUGGGUACCUUGUUCAUCAUGUUUACGAGGAAGGUGAAGAGAAACAAGAGUUGAAUCAUGUUCUAUCAAUUGGCUUACUAGUCUGUAACUCUAAAUUCAGCUUUUUAUUCAAUUAAAAAUAAGAGUCACCAUAUAUUUCUCAUUUUGACAGAUGACUUUACAAAACUCAAUUAAAGAAAAACAAAUUUUAUCUGAUUA
Molecule: RNA transcript, 1109 nt
Organism: Cryptomeria japonica (Japanese cedar)
Lineage: Eukaryota; Viridiplantae; Streptophyta; Pinopsida; Cupressales; Cupressaceae
Exons: 2
Source: RefSeq, a predicted model, not a curated record